RNAcentral lists this ribosomal RNA (1079 nucleotides) under uncultured Nitrososphaerota archaeon. RNAcentral describes it as "bacterial SSU rRNA". It matches the Rfam family "Archaeal small subunit ribosomal RNA", at positions 422 to 1478 of the family's 1478-position model. The record is from RNAcentral. Lineage: Archaea; Thermoproteati; Nitrososphaerota.
GAAACACUGGUGAAUAAGGGGUGGGCAAGUUCUGGUGUCAGCCGCCGCGGUAAAACCAGCACCUCAAGUGGUCAGGAUGAUUAUUGGGCCUAAAGCAUCCGUAGCUCGUUUUGUAAGUUUUCGGUUAAAUCCAUGCGCUCAACGUAUGGGCUGCCGGGAAUACUGCAUAACUAGGAAGUGGGAGAGGUAGACGGUACUCGGUAGGAAGGGGUAAAAUCCUUUGAUCUAUUGAUGACCACCUGUGGCGAAGGCGGUCUACCAGAACACGUUCGACGGUGAGGGAUGAAAGCUGGGGGAGCAAACCGGAUUAGAUACCCGGGUAGUCCCAGCUGUAAACUAUGCAAACUCAGUGAUGCAUUGGCUUGUGGCCAAUGCAGUGCUGCAGGGAAGCCGUUAAGUUUGCCGCCUGGGAAGUACGUACGCAAGUAUGAAACUUAAAGGAAUUGGCGGGGGAGCACCACGAGGGGUGAAGCCUGCGGUUCAAUUGGAGUCAACGCCAGAAAUCUUACCCGGAGAGACAGCAGAAUGAAGGUCAAGCUGAAGACUUUACCAGACAAGCUGAGAGGUGGUGCAUGGCCGUCGCCAGCUCGUGCCGUGAGAUGUCCUGUUAAGUCGGGUAACGAGCGAGAUCUCUGCCUCUAGUUGCCACCAUUACUCUCAGGAGUAGUGGGGCGAAUUAGCGGGACCGCCGCAGUUAAUGCGGAGGAAGGAAGGGGCCACGGCAGGUCAGUAUGCCCCGAAACUCUGGGGCCACACGCGGGCUGCAAUGGUAGUGACAAUUGGUUCCGAAUCCGAAAGGAGGAGGUAAUCCUCAAACGCUACCACAGUUAUGACUGAGGGCUGCAACUCGCCCUCACGAAUAUGGAAUCCCUAGUAACUGCGUGUCAUUAUCGCGCGGUGAAUACGUCCCUGCUCCUUGCACACACCGCCCGUCGUUUCAUUGAAGUUUGCUUUUAGCGAGGUGACGUCUGAUUGGCGUUAUCGAACUUGAGGUAAGUGACAAGGGAAAAGUCGUAACAAGGUAACCAAGGGCGAAUUCCACAGUGGAUAUCAAGCUUAUCGAUACCGUCGACCUCGAG